This 87-nucleotide transfer RNA is filed under the name Cordylochernes scorpioides. RNAcentral's name for it is "tRNA-Tyr". It matches the Rfam family "tRNA". Rfam says of the family: Transfer RNA (tRNA) molecules are approximately 80 nucleotides in length. Their secondary structure includes four short double-helical elements and three loops (D, anti-codon, and T loops). Further hydrogen bonds mediate the characteristic L-shaped molecular structure. tRNAs have two regions of fundamental functional importance: the anti-codon, which is responsible for specific mRNA codon recognition, and the 3' end, to which the tRNAs corresponding amino acid is attached (by aminoacyl-tRNA synthetases). tRNAs cope with the degeneracy of the genetic code in two manners: having more than one tRNA (with a specific anti-codon) for a particular amino acid; and 'wobble' base-pairing, i.e. permitting non-standard base-pairing at the 3rd anti-codon position. Lineage: Eukaryota; Metazoa; Arthropoda; Arachnida; Pseudoscorpiones; Chernetidae. The record is from RNAcentral.
CCCUCAAUAGCUCAGUUGGCAGAGCGGAUGACUGUAGAUGUUACAACGGUGAUCCUUAGGUAGCUGGUUCAAAUCCGGCUCGAGGGA